RNAcentral lists this long non-coding RNA (299 nucleotides) under Setaria viridis. RNAcentral's name for it is "long non-coding RNA (SVIR_LNC003149)". Lineage: Eukaryota; Viridiplantae; Streptophyta; Magnoliopsida; Poales; Poaceae. The record is from RNAcentral.
GGAGCUUGUAGACGUUGAUGAUGAAAAGGAAAAGAUUUGGGCCAUCGCGAUGGUGUGAUACAAAUGAUGGAGAUCAUCACUUAGUGCCAUGUACAAGGCAUACGCAGUUACGCAGCAAUAAUGAAACACAAGUCAGAUGACCUUGACAUUGCUGAAUGGCACCACUACCUUAUCUUGUAUUUUGGAUCUCCAAAUUUCAAGGUCUCAUAGCAUUUCCUUUUCGUCCUUCCAUAUAUCACAUGUAUUUAUUACUAGUUCGAUCAAUGCACUACUAAUGUAUUUUUUUACUUACACCGCCC